Molecule: microRNA, 19 nt
Filed under: Tribolium castaneum (red flour beetle)
Lineage: Eukaryota; Metazoa; Arthropoda; Insecta; Coleoptera; Tenebrionidae
Description: tca-miR-6015-3p
Source: miRBase by way of RNAcentral
AGGCAGAUGCAGCGCCGGU